GAUGAACGCUGGCGGCGUGCUUAACACAUGCGAGUCGAACGAUGAAGCCCAGCUUGCUGGGUGGAUUAGUGGCGAACGGGUGAGUAACACGUGAGUAACCUGCCCUUAACUCUGGGAUAAGCCUGGGAAACUGGGUCUAAUACCGGAUAGGAGCGUCCACCGCAGGGUGGGUGUUGGAAAGAUUUAUCGGUUUUGGAUGGACUCGCGGCCUAUCAGCUUGUUGGUGAGGUAAUGGCUCACCAAGGCGACGACGGGUAGCCGGCCUGAGAGGGUGACCGGCCACACUGGGCCUGAGAGACGGCCCAGACUCCUACGGGAGGCAGCAGUGGGGAAUAUUGCACAAUGGGCGCAAGCCUGAUGCAGCGACGCCGCGUGUGGGAUGACGGCCUUCGGGUUGUAAACCUCUUUCAGUAGGGAAGAAGCGAAAGUGACGGUACCUGCAGAAGAAGCACCGGCUAACUACGUG
RNAcentral lists this ribosomal RNA (466 nucleotides) under uncultured bacterium. RNAcentral describes it as "partial 16S ribosomal RNA". It matches the Rfam family "Bacterial small subunit ribosomal RNA", at positions 28 to 507 of the family's 1533-position model. The record is from RNAcentral.